Molecule: ribosomal RNA, 524 nt
Filed under: uncultured bacterium
Lineage: Bacteria
Description: bacterial SSU rRNA
Rfam family: Bacterial small subunit ribosomal RNA
Source: RNAcentral
AAUGGGGGAAACCCUGAUCACAGCGACGCCGCGUGUGUGAAGAAGGCCUGCGGGUUGUAAAGCACUUUUAGUGGGGAUGAAAAGCUCAGGGCUAAUACCUCUGGGUCUUGACCUAACCCAAAGAAAAAGCACCGGCUAACUCUGUGCCAGCAGCCGCGGUAAUACAGAGGGUGCGAGCGUUAAUCGGAAUUACUGGGCGUAAAGCGUGCGUAGACGGUUAUGUAAGUCGGGUGUGAAAGCCCCGGGCUCAACCUGGGAAUUGCAUUCGAGACUGGAUAGCUAGGGUGCGGAAGAGGGAAGCGGAAUUUCAGGUGUAGCGGUGAAAUGCGUAGAUAUCUGAAGGAACACCAGUGGCGAAAGCGGCUUCCUGGUCCAGCACCGACGUUCAGGCACGAAAGCGUGGGGAGCAAACAGGAUUAGAUACCCUGGUAGUCCACGCCAUAAACGAUGAGAACUAGACGUUGAGAGGGUAAGCCUCCCAGUGUCGUAGCUAACGCGCUAAGUUCUCCGCCUGGGGAGUACGG